This 307-nucleotide long non-coding RNA is filed under the name Phaseolus vulgaris (common bean). RNAcentral describes it as "long non-coding RNA (PVUL_LNC004736)". The record is from RNAcentral. Lineage: Eukaryota; Viridiplantae; Streptophyta; Magnoliopsida; Fabales; Fabaceae.
GUUGGUCCACGUCGAUACAAGGUGUCUGCUUCACUCUUAAUUGUCCUGUCCUUCGAGUUUCCUUCUUCUUCGCUGUCCUCGGUCGACCAGUGGGGUACCUGCGAUUCUGCUCCGACGCUCAAGUCAGUAAUCUCUCUCAGUGAGGAUCUCUUAUCAUAUAACAAAAACAUACCUUUUUCUCUCUCUUUCUCUUCUUUUGUAUGUUCCUCUUGGGCUUGGGCCCUCUGGAUUGUUAGUGGUUCGCGACGUGUUUUGUGGUUCUGGGGUCGUGUUAGAUGGUUUCCUGGGAUCUAGGGGAUGUUCCCGA